RNAcentral lists this ribosomal RNA (472 nucleotides) under uncultured bacterium. RNAcentral describes it as "partial 16S ribosomal RNA". It matches the Rfam family "Bacterial small subunit ribosomal RNA", at positions 28 to 507 of the family's 1533-position model. The record is from RNAcentral.
GACGAACGCUGGCGGCGUGCUUAACACAUGCAAGUCGAACGCUGAAGCUUGGUGCUUGCUCUGGGUGGAUGAGUGGCGAACGGGUGAGUAAUACGUGAGUAACCUGCCCUUGACUCUGGGAUAAGCCUGGGAAACUGGGUCUAAUACUGGAUACGACAUGCAACUGCAUGGUGCUGUAUGGAAAGGGUUUUACUCGUUUUGGAUGGGCUCACGGCCUAUCAGCUUGUUGGUGAGGUAAUGACAUACCAAGGCGACGACGGGUAGCCGGCCUGAGAGGGUGACCGGCCACACUGGGACUGAGACACGGCCCAGACGCCAACGGGAGGCAGCAGUGGAGAAUAUUGCACAAUGGGGGGAAGCCUGAUGUGGCGACGCCGCGUGAGGGAUGACGGCCUUCGGGGUGUAAACCUCUUUCAGCGCGGAAGAAGCGAGAUUGACGGUACGUGCAGAAGAAGCGCCGGCUAACUACGUG